AUUGAACGCUGGCGGCAGGCUUAACACAUGCAAGUCGAGCGGGGGAAGGUAGCUUGCUACUGGACCUAGCGGCGGACGGGUGAGUAAUGCUUAGGAAUCUGCCUAUUAGUGGGGGACAACAUCUCGAAAGGGAUGCUAAUACCGCAUACGUCCUACGGGAGAAAGCAGGGGAUCUUCGGACCUUGCGCUAAUAGAUGAGCCUAAGUCGGAUUAGCUAGUUGGUGGGGUAAAGGCCUACCAAGGCGACGAUCUGUAGCGGGUCUGAGAGGAUGAUCCGCCACACUGGGACUGAGACACGGCCCAGACUCCUACGGGGGGCAGCAGUGGGGAAUAUUGGACAAUGGGGGGAACCCUGAUCCAGCCAUGCCGCGUGUGUGAAGAAGGCCUUAUGGUUGUAAAGCACUUUAAGCGAGGAGGAGGCUACUUUAGUUAAUACCUAGAGAUAGUGGACGUUACUCGCAGAAUAAGCACCGGCUAACUCUGUGCCAGCAGCCGCGGUAAUACAGAGGGUGCGAGCGUUAAUCGGAUUUACUGGGCGUAAAGCGUGCGUAGGCGGCUUAUUAAGUCGGAUGUGAAAUCCCCGAGCUUAACUUGGGAAUUGCAUUCGAUACUGGUGAGCUAGAGUAUGGGAGAGGAUGGUAGAAUUCCAGGUGUAGCGGUGAAAUGCGUAGAGAUCUGGAGGAAUACCGAUGGCGA
This 696-nucleotide ribosomal RNA is filed under the name Acinetobacter baumannii OIFC189. Its description in RNAcentral is "bacterial SSU rRNA". It matches the Rfam family "Bacterial small subunit ribosomal RNA", at positions 28 to 718 of the family's 1533-position model. Lineage: Bacteria; Pseudomonadati; Pseudomonadota; Gammaproteobacteria; Moraxellales; Moraxellaceae. The record is from RNAcentral.